CCUACGGGUCGCAGCAGUAGGGAAUCUUCGGCAAUGGACGAAAGUCUGACCGAGCAACGCCGCGUGAGUGAAGAAGGUUUUCGGAUCGUAAAACUCUGUUGUUAGAGAAGAACAAGGACGUUAGUAACUGAACGUCCCCUAACGGUAUCUAACCAGAAAGCCACGGCUAACUACGUGCCAGCAGCCGCGGUAAUACGUAGGUGGCAAGCGUUGUCCGGAUUUAUUGGGCGUAAAGCGAGCGCAGGCGGUUUCUUAAGUCUGAUGUGAAAGCCCCCGGCUCAACCGGGGAGGGUCAUUGGAAACUGGGAGACUUGAGUGCAGAAGAGGAGAGUGGGAUUCCAUGUGUAGCGGUGAAAUGCGUAGAUAUAUGGAGGAACACCAGUGGCGAAGGCGACUCUCUGGUCUGUAACUGACGCUGAGGCUCGAAAGCGUGGGGAGCAAACAGGAUUAGAUACCCCUGUAGUC
RNAcentral lists this ribosomal RNA (465 nucleotides) under uncultured bacterium. Its description in RNAcentral is "bacterial SSU rRNA". It matches the Rfam family "Bacterial small subunit ribosomal RNA", at positions 338 to 795 of the family's 1533-position model. The record is from RNAcentral.